Anolis sagrei ordinatus is the source of this 228-nucleotide long non-coding RNA. RefSeq lists it as uncharacterized. The record is from RefSeq and is a predicted model, not a curated record. Lineage: Eukaryota; Metazoa; Chordata; Lepidosauria; Squamata; Anolidae.
UUGUGAUUUGCAUCACCUCCCUUCCCUCCUGGUCUAAUGGCUUGAGGCACCCUGGAGAGAGAUGGCAAGUUUUAGGAGGCAAGAAAGUGACAUCACAGAGGGCACUUCACCUAGCAACAAUCUUUGUGCUACAGGCAGGCUCCUUUUCCCUUGCAACCCUCCUACAUGGAAAAACAAAGCCCAAAGGCACCAAACGUCUACAACUAUCCAUGUGGAAUGAAAAAACAA